RNAcentral lists this ribosomal RNA (547 nucleotides) under salal root associated fungus UBCTRA 1041.2. RNAcentral describes it as "eukaryotic LSU rRNA". It matches the Rfam family "Eukaryotic large subunit ribosomal RNA", at positions 1 to 548 of the family's 3401-position model. Lineage: Eukaryota; Fungi; Basidiomycota; Agaricomycetes; Sebacinales; Sebacinaceae. The record is from RNAcentral.
UUGACCUCAAAUCGGGUGGGACUACCCGCUGAACUUAAGCAUAUCAAUAAGCGGAGGAAAAGAAACUAACAAGGAUUCCCCUAGUAACGGCGAGUGAAGAGGGAAAAGCUCAAAUUUUGAAUCUGGUGUCUUUGACUCCCGAGUUGUAAUCUAGAGAAGUGUUUUCCGUCUCGGACCGUGCACAAGUUCCCUGGAACGGGGCGUCAUAGAGGGUGAGAAUCCCGUAUAUGGCACGGACUGCCGAUGCUUUUGUGAUACACUCUCAACGAGUCGAGUUGUUUGGGAAUGCAGCUCAAAAUGGGUGGUAAAUUCCAUCUAAAGCUAAAUAUUGGCGAGAGACCAAUAGCGAACAAGUACCGUGAGGGAAAGAUGAAAAGCACUUUGGAAAGAGAGUGAAACAGUACGUGAAAUUGUUGAAAGGGAAGCGUUUGAAGUCAGUCGUAUCUGGCGGGAUUCAGUCGAGCUUUUGCCCGGUGUACUUCUCGUCCGAUGGGUCAGCAUCAAUUUCGACCGGGGGAAAAAGAUGUGGGGAAUGUGGCUAUCUUCG